Molecule: ribosomal RNA, 198 nt
Filed under: uncultured Streptococcus sp.
Lineage: Bacteria; Bacillati; Bacillota; Bacilli; Lactobacillales; Streptococcaceae
Description: partial 16S ribosomal RNA
Rfam family: Bacterial small subunit ribosomal RNA
Source: RNAcentral
ACUCCUACGGGAGGCAGCAGUAGGGAAUCUUCGGCAAUGGACGGAAGUCUGACCGAGCAACGCCGCGUGAGUGAAGAAGGUUUUCGGAUCGUAAAGCUCUGUUGUUAGAGAAGAAUGAUGGUGGGAGUGGAAAAUCCACCAUGUGACGGUAACUAACCAGAAAGGGACGGCUAACUACGUGCCAGCAGCCGCGGUAAU